CCUACGGGUGGCAGCAGUGAGGAAUAUUGGUCAAUGGACGAGAGUCUGAACCAGCCAAGUAGCGUGAAGGAUGACUGCCCUAUGGGUUGUAAACUUCUUUUAUAUGGGAAUAAAAUGUUCCACGUGUGGGAUUUUGUAUGUACCAUAUGAAUAAGGAUCGGCUAACUCCGUGUCAGCAGCCGCGGUAAUACGGAGGAUCCGAGCGUUAUCCGGAUUUAUUGGGUUUAAAGGGAGCGUAGGUGGAUUGUUAAGUCAGUUGUGAAAUUUUGCGGCUCAACCGUAAAAUUGCAGUUGAAACUGGCAGUCUUGAGUACAGGAGAGGUGGGCGGAAUUCGUGGUGUAGCGGUGAAAUGCUUAGAUAUCACGAAGAACUCCGAUUGCGAAGGCAGCUCACUGGACUGCAACUGACACUGAGGCUCGAAAGUGUGGGUAUCAAACAGGAUUAGAUACCCUAGUAGUC
RNAcentral lists this ribosomal RNA (460 nucleotides) under uncultured bacterium. RNAcentral's name for it is "partial 16S ribosomal RNA". It matches the Rfam family "Bacterial small subunit ribosomal RNA", at positions 338 to 795 of the family's 1533-position model. The record is from RNAcentral.